This 253-nucleotide ribosomal RNA is filed under the name uncultured bacterium. RNAcentral describes it as "partial 16S ribosomal RNA". It matches the Rfam family "Bacterial small subunit ribosomal RNA", at positions 524 to 776 of the family's 1533-position model. The record is from RNAcentral.
UACGAAGGGGGCGAGCGUUGUUCGGAUUUACUGGGCGUAAAGGGCGCGUAGGCGGCCUUGUCAGUCAGGCGUGAAAGCCCCGGGCUCAACCUGGGAACGGCGCUUGGGACGGCGAGGCUGGAGUUCGGGAGAGGAGAGUGGAAUUCCCAGUGUAGAGGUGAAAUUCGUAGAUAUUGGGAAGAACACCGGUGGCGAAGGCGGCUCUCUGGACCGACACUGACGCUGAUGCGCGAAAGCUAGGGGAGCGAACGGG